Echinops telfairi (small Madagascar hedgehog) is the source of this 73-nucleotide small nuclear RNA. Its record names the gene U1. It matches the Rfam family "U1 spliceosomal RNA". From Rfam's summary of the family: U1 is a small nuclear RNA (snRNA) component of the spliceosome (involved in pre-mRNA splicing). The record is from Ensembl. NCBI's taxonomy places the organism in Eukaryota, Metazoa, Chordata, Mammalia, Afrosoricida, Tenrecidae.
AUACUUACCUGGCAGAGGAGAUACCAUGAUCACGAAGGUGGUUUUCCCAGGGCGAGGCUUAUCCAUUGCACGC